Picea glauca (white spruce) is the source of this 129-nucleotide non-coding RNA. The record is from Rfam. NCBI's taxonomy places the organism in Eukaryota, Viridiplantae, Streptophyta, Pinopsida, Pinales, Pinaceae.
UCUUAUGUACAUUCCUACAACAUAGCGUUAAUGCAUCGGAUCCCAUUAUAACUCUGCAAUUAAGUGUGUUUGGGCUAGAGUAGUACUAGGAUGGGCGACCGCUUGGGAAGCCCUAGUAUUUUAUAUGCC